UACGUAGGGCGCAAGCGUUGUCCGGAAUCAUUGGGCGUAAAGAGCUCGUAGGUGGUCUGUUACGUCUGCUGUGAAAUCCUAGGGCUUAACCCUGGGCCUGCAGUGGAUACGGGCAGACUAGAGGUAGGUAGGGGAGAAUGGAAUUCCCGGUGUAGCGGUGAAAUGCGCAGAUAUCGGGAGGAACACCGGUGGCGAAGGCGGUUCUCUGGGCCGAUACUGACGCUGAGGAGCGAAAGCGUGGGGAGCGAACAGGAUAGAUACC
This 262-nucleotide ribosomal RNA is filed under the name uncultured bacterium. RNAcentral describes it as "partial 16S ribosomal RNA". It matches the Rfam family "Bacterial small subunit ribosomal RNA", at positions 524 to 786 of the family's 1533-position model. The record is from RNAcentral.